This 253-nucleotide ribosomal RNA is filed under the name uncultured bacterium. Its description in RNAcentral is "partial 16S ribosomal RNA". It matches the Rfam family "Bacterial small subunit ribosomal RNA", at positions 524 to 776 of the family's 1533-position model. The record is from RNAcentral.
UACGUAGGUGGCAAGCGUUGUCCGGAAUUACUGGGCGUAAAGGGCGUGUAGGCGGCUUUUUAAGUCAGGCGUGAAAUCUCUGGGCUUAACCCAGAAAUUGCGUUUGAAACUGGAAGGCUUGAGGAUCGGAGAGGGUAGUGGAAUUCCCAGUGUAGCGGUGAAAUGCGUAGAUAUUGGGAGGAACACCAGUGGCGAAGGCGACUGCCUGGACGACACCUGACGCUGAGGCGCGAAAGCCAGGGGAGCAAACGGG